AGUGAACGCUGGCGGUAGGCCUAACACAUGCAAGUCGAACGGCAGCACAGUAAGAGCUUGCUCUUACGGGUGGCGAGUGGCGGACGGGUGAGGAAUACAUCGGAAUCUACUUUUUCGUGGGGGAUAACGUAGGGAAACUUACGCUAAUACCGCAUACGACCUACGGGUGAAAGCAGGGGAUCUUCGGACCUUGCGCGAUUGAAUGAGCCGAUGUCGGAUUAGCUAGUUGGCGGGGUAAAGGCCCACCAAGGCGACGAUCCGUAGCUGGUCUGAGAGGAUGAUCAGCCACACUGGAACUUAGACACGGUCCAGACUCCUACGGGAGGCAGCAGUGGGGACUAUUGGACAAUGGGCGCAAGCCUGAUCCAGCCAUACCGCGUGGGUGAAGAAGGCCUUCGGGUUGUAAAGCCCUUUUGUUGGGAAAGAAAAGCAGCAGGUUAAUACCCCGCUGUUCUGACGGUACCCAAAGAAUAAGCACCGGCUAACUUCGUG
RNAcentral lists this ribosomal RNA (492 nucleotides) under uncultured bacterium. RNAcentral's name for it is "partial 16S ribosomal RNA". It matches the Rfam family "Bacterial small subunit ribosomal RNA", at positions 29 to 507 of the family's 1533-position model. The record is from RNAcentral.